GUUCGGGGGCGGAUGACUUCAUGUGGUAGCGUAACAAAUGAAUACAUAGUAAAGAAAGCAAUACAACCAUCAUAUAUAAUUGAAAGUUUACAUUUGUCAAAAGUUACAUGUUCAAAACCAAUUACAAUAUGAUGUCAAAAUAUGAGAUUAAACUGGCGCCGCAACAUCCCUUCAUCAAAAGCAUAAUGAUACCUGAAAUUACUGAUUCCCUGGGACAUACAAGUAAUUUUGAAAGAGUAGAUCAGCAUUUAAGCUGGUGAGUUUCAUAAGUAUUUAAAUGACAAUGUUUGUAUGAAAUGAAAUGUUUUGUCUUUGUUUGUUUGUGUUUAGAAAAUCCUAUAUUUUCUACUAGUAUAAAAGUAGCCUUCACUCAAGACCAAUGUUUGUUUCUAANCAAAAUACGAGAUUAAACUGGCGCCGCAGCAUCCCUUCAUCAAAAGCAUAAUGAUACCUGAAAUUACUGAUUCCCUGGGACAUACAAGUAAUUUUGAAAGAGUAGAUCAGCAUUUAAGCUGGUGAGUUUCAUAAGUAUUUAAAUGACAAUGUUUGUAUGAAAUGAAAUCUUUUGUCUUUGUUUGUUUGUGUUUAGAAAAUCCUAUAUUUUCUACUAGUAUAAAAGUAGCCUUCACUCAAGACCAAUGUUUGUUUCCAAAAUGUAUGUAAGUGUAAAAUAACCAAUGUGUUUGAAAACCUUGUAAAUCAAUGCAUUUUUAAUACCCCUUGUGAGUUUUAUAACCAUACUAUUGACUCGGAAUGCCUAUACACAACGUUCUUCAGGCAUUGGAAUGUUAUGACGUUUGUCACCCCAAACGGUGGACUGCAGCUAACAGUCAGGGCGCGGGUUGUCAAGCCCGUAUAGAUCUAUACACAAACACCAUGCUCCCCCUCCAAGGGAUUCUGGUAUAUAAUACAGGACUUGAAAUGUGUACUCGAACGUACAUGAAGUUAGUGUCUCACAAAACCGUGGUAUAAAAACAGAUCUACUUGUUAAAAUGUUACGUUUGUUCUUGUAUACGAAAGUGACUUCUUGAAAUUCAUGUUUCUAGUACAUAAGAGUUAGAAAUUUGUUCGUAAAACUAUACCUAUUAUAGUUUUCUAAAAGUGUGUCUCGUUUGUUUAGAAAUACCUAGAAAAGGAAUCAUUUGUUAUGAAAGCAUAGAUUUUUGGUGUAGAGUCUAAGAUAGACAAGUAUACAUAAAAUCUAAGAAAAAUUUAGUUUAUACAUGCAUUACAACAGUUUAUAUUUCAACAGAU
This 1254-nucleotide long non-coding RNA is filed under the name Lactuca sativa (garden lettuce). RNAcentral's name for it is "long non-coding RNA (LSAT_LNC009560)". The record is from RNAcentral. Lineage: Eukaryota; Viridiplantae; Streptophyta; Magnoliopsida; Asterales; Asteraceae.